This 23-nucleotide non-coding RNA is filed under the name Cricetulus griseus (Chinese hamster). The record is from RNAcentral. Lineage: Eukaryota; Metazoa; Chordata; Mammalia; Rodentia; Cricetidae.
UGAAUGGUAGGCAAGAAAGAUCU